GGAGGGUGUCCGGGUUGGUUAGGAGGCCGCCUCGAAAGCGGUUGCCCCGUAAGGGGUUGUGGGUUCGAAUCCCAUGCCCUCCG
RNAcentral lists this transfer RNA (83 nucleotides) under Cyanobacteria bacterium UBA8530. Its description in RNAcentral is "tRNA-Ser". It matches the Rfam family "tRNA". Rfam says of the family: Transfer RNA (tRNA) molecules are approximately 80 nucleotides in length. Lineage: Bacteria; Bacillati; Cyanobacteriota. The record is from RNAcentral.